UAGGAGAAAGGUCUUUUUACUAUAUUAUUUUGUUGCCAAAUAAAUUAUAAUGAUCAAUUUAAUGUAAAUUUACUCUUUAGAUUUAUAUUUUUUGGCAAAUCAAUGAAAACAAGACUUAAAAGGAAAUGUUAAAGUUGGUAGUAAGAAUCUAGUUCAGUAAGGUAUUUUAAUUAGAUUGAUUUUUGUUUGAUGUUUCUUACACCUCUUUCCCAGCCCCCCUCUUACCCUUUUUUAAUUUUUCUCCUCUUUUCCAUUUUCCUUGUCUUACCAUUCUGGAAAUUGAAAUUAUGCUUUGCUGUCAAUGAAGUGAAUGGGAAUUCUGCCACUGGAGAGGAUGAGAGGAUGCUGUAUUUCCAUCUGUGAAUGAACUAAUGACACCUACUUAAAGGCAGCAUUGUGAAGAUUAAUUAAUUGACAUUAUUGAAGUAUCCUGAGGUGGAAAUUCUGAUUGUCAAGCAAUCAGAAAUACCGAGAUGUGUGGCAUUUCUUCAGGGUGGUGAAGGGCACAGUUUUCUCCACUUCUGACAGGUGGGUCAGCCAUUCUUGGAACAGCAGACAGCUCAAAGUGUGUCAAUGGGGUAAGUGCCAAAGUGUGUUAAUGGGGUAACUGCCAAAAAAUGACCCUGAGGGCAUUCCCAACAUUUCCAAGAAUAUCAUACCAAUAAAACCACUUCUUAUGGUCAUGUGGGACACACAUAGAUCAGAGUUAGAGUUGGGAUAGCAGUUAUACCAUGUGAUGUGAAUAAAUUGCCAUCUCUCUUCUCUCAGUUUAGUCACUUAUUAAACUGGGAAAUAGUCUUGGCGUGCUGUAUGAGGGUACUGGGAAGACAACUUAGCUUCAGCGAAAGGUGUGCUUAAAAUUCUGCAUUGGAGAGCAUAAUAGAGGUGUGAAGUAUCUUAUGUUAGACACUGUGGAAUUAGCAAGCAUGGCUAAUCCUUAGCAUUCAACAAUAAUUUCUCUAUACUGGGACAGAAAUAACAGAACCAAUAAGAAAAGUGCAGUGGCUAGACCAAUGGCAGCUGCAAUAAAACAACAUUUUGAUUUGUUAGUCUCUCAGAACUUUGCGUAAUGUGCUACUAUUUCUUCUUGUUAGAGCUGAUUGAAUCACAUAAAACUGAAUUCCAGUAGCUGAAUAGCUACACGGCAUUGUAUUAGGAGACAUACCAAUCACUCUAGGAUUGCUUUCCUGA
This is a long non-coding RNA of Anas platyrhynchos (mallard), 1191 nucleotides long. RefSeq lists it as uncharacterized. The record is from RefSeq and is a predicted model, not a curated record. NCBI's taxonomy places the organism in Eukaryota, Metazoa, Chordata, Aves, Anseriformes, Anatidae.